CCUACGGGUGGCAGCAGUGGGGAAUGUUGCGCAAUGAUCGGAAGAGUGACGCAGCGACGCCGCGUGAAUGACGAAGGCCUUCGGGGCGUAAAGUUCUUUCGACAGGGAAGAAAAUGCCGAUAAGUAACUGUGUAUGUAUGUACGGUACCUGUACAAGCAGCCCCGGCUAACUCCGUGCCAGCAGCCGCGGUAAUACGGAGGGUGCGAGCGUUGAUCGGAAUUACUGGGCGUAAAGCGCUCGUAGGCGGUAUGUCAAGUCAAGGGUGAAAUCCCCGCGCUCAACGUGGGAACUGCCUUUGAAACUGGCAACCUGGAGUGUGUGAGAGGCUAGUGGAAUUCCAGGUGUAGUCGUGACAUCCGUAGAUAUCUGGAGGAACAUCAGUGGCGAAGGCGACUCUCUGGCACAUAACUGACGCUGAGGCGCGAAAGCGUGGGUAGCAAACAGGAUUAGAUACCCCUGUAGUC
Molecule: ribosomal RNA, 465 nt
Filed under: uncultured bacterium
Lineage: Bacteria
Description: partial 16S ribosomal RNA
Rfam family: Bacterial small subunit ribosomal RNA
Source: RNAcentral